UACAGAGGGUGCGAGCGUUGUCCGGGAUCACUGGGCGUAAAGGGCGCGUAGGCGGCCUUCUAAGUCGAACGUGAAAUCCCCGGGCUCAACCCGGGAACUGCGUCCGAUACUGGAAGGCUUGAAUCCGGGAGAGGGAUGCGGAAUUCCAGGUGUAGCGGUGAAAUGCGUAGAUAUCGGGAGGAACACCAGUGGCGAAGGCGACUUUCUGGCCUGUUCUUGACGCUGAGGCGCGAAAGCUAGGGGAGCAAACGGG
This 253-nucleotide ribosomal RNA is filed under the name uncultured bacterium. Its description in RNAcentral is "partial 16S ribosomal RNA". It matches the Rfam family "Bacterial small subunit ribosomal RNA", at positions 524 to 776 of the family's 1533-position model. The record is from RNAcentral.